This 406-nucleotide ribosomal RNA is filed under the name uncultured bacterium. RNAcentral describes it as "partial 16S ribosomal RNA". It matches the Rfam family "Bacterial small subunit ribosomal RNA", at positions 30 to 526 of the family's 1533-position model. The record is from RNAcentral.
AUUGAACGCUGGCGGCAGGCCUAACACAUGCAAGUCGAACGAGUGGCGGACGGGUGAGUAAUGUCUGGGAAACUGCCUGAUGGGGGGGGAUAACUACUGGACACGGUAGCUAAUAACGCAUACCAUCGGAUGUGCCCAGCGGGGAUUAGCUAGUAGGUGGGGUAAAGGCUCACCUAGGCGACGAUCCCUAGCUGGUCUGAGAGGAUGACCAGCAAAAAUGGACCUGAGACACGGUCCAGAAUCCUACGGGAGGAAGCAGUGGGGAAUAUUGCACAAUGGGCGAAAUCCUGAUGCAGCCAUGCAGCGUGUAUGAAGAAGGCCUUCGGGUUGUAAAGUACUUUCAGCGGGGAGGCGUUACCCGCAGAAGAAGCACCGGCUAACUCCGUGCCAGCAGCCGCGGUAAUUC